RNAcentral lists this ribosomal RNA (935 nucleotides) under Alteromonadales bacterium. RNAcentral describes it as "bacterial SSU rRNA". It matches the Rfam family "Bacterial small subunit ribosomal RNA", at positions 1 to 877 of the family's 1533-position model. The record is from RNAcentral. Lineage: Bacteria; Pseudomonadati; Pseudomonadota; Gammaproteobacteria; Alteromonadales.
GUUGGGAGCUCUCCCAUAUGGUCGACCUGCAGGCGGCCGCGAAUUCACUAGUGAUUGUUUGAUCCUGGCUCAGAUUGAACGCUGGCGGCAGGCUUAACACAUGCAAGUCGAACGGUAACAGAGAAUAGCUUGCUAUUCUGCUGACGAGUGGCGGACGGGUGAGUAAUGCUUGGGAAUUUGCCGAAAGGUGGGGGACAACAGUUGGAAACGACUGCUAAUACCGCAUAAUGUCUACGGACCAAAGGUGGCCUCUAUUUAUAUGCUAUCGCCUUUCGAUGAGCCCAAGUGGGAUUAGCUAGUUGGUAAGGUAAUGGCUUACCAAGGCGACGAUCCCUAGCUGGUCUUAGAGGAUGGCCAGCCACACUGGAACUGAGACACGGUCCAGACUCCUACGGGAGGCAGCAGUGGGGAAUAUUGCACAAUGGGGGAAACCCUGAUGCAGCCAUGCCGCGUGUGUGAAGAAGGCUUUCGGGUUGUAAAGCACUUUCAGCGAGGAGGAAAGGGUGAUGGCUAAUAUCCAUCAUCUGUGACGUUACUCGCAGAAGAAGCACCGGCUAACUCCGUGCCAGCAGCCGCGGUAAUACGGAGGGUGCAAGCGUUAAUCGGAAUUACUGGGCGUAAAGCGCGCGUAGGUGGUUAAUUAAGUCAGAUGUGAAAGCCCAGGGCUCAACCUUGGAACUGCAUUUGAAACUGGUUGACUAGAGUUUUGUAGAGGGUGGUAGAAUUUCAGGUGUAGCGGUGAAAUGCGUAGAGAUCUGAAGGAAUACCAGUGGCGAAGGCGGCCACCUGGACAAAGACUGACACUGAGGCGCGAAGGCGUGGGGAGCAAACGGGAUUAGAUACCCCGGUAGUCCACGCAGUAAACGAUGUCUAUUAGAAGUUUGUGGCUAUAUGCCGUGGGUUUCAAAGCUAACGCAUUAAAUAGACCGCCUGGG